Molecule: ribosomal RNA, 253 nt
Filed under: uncultured bacterium
Lineage: Bacteria
Description: partial 16S ribosomal RNA
Rfam family: Bacterial small subunit ribosomal RNA
Source: RNAcentral
UACGUAGGGACCGAGCGUUGUCCGGAUUCAUUGGGCGUAAAGAGCUCGUAGGCGGCUGUUCAAGUCGAACGUGAAAACUCGGAGCUCAACUCCGAGCCUGCGUUCGAUACUGGACGGCUAGAGUCUGGUAGGGGAUCGUGGAAUUCCUGGUGUAGCGGUGGAAUGCGCAGAUAUCAGGAGGAACACCGGUGGCGAAGGCGGAUCUCUGGGCCUUACCUGACGCUGAGGAGCGAAAGCGUGGGGAGCGAACAGG